UACAGAGGUCUCAAGCGUUGUUCGGAUUCAUUGGGCGUAAAGGGUGCGUAGGCGGCGCGGUAAGUCGGGUGUGAAAUCUCGGAGCUUAACUCCAAGCUUGCGGUCGAUACGGGCAGACUUGAGUUCGGCAGGGGAGACUGGAAUUCCUGGUGUAGCGGUGAAAUGCGCAGAUAUCAGGAGGAACACCGGUGGCGAAGGCGGCAUCCUGGACCAACACUGACGCUGAUGAGCGAAAGCCAGGGGAGCAAACGGG
Molecule: ribosomal RNA, 253 nt
Filed under: uncultured bacterium
Lineage: Bacteria
Description: partial 16S ribosomal RNA
Rfam family: Bacterial small subunit ribosomal RNA
Source: RNAcentral